CUCGCUGCGGCGCGCGCACGUUUUGCGGAGUGGGAGAAGCAGGUCUAACUUCUAGCUGAGGGGUUACCCACCAUCAUCCCAUCUUGGUAAGAAGCCUUGCUCCAAUGCCCUGAUCCAUCCAGGUCUAAAAUACAAGAUGUCUUACAUAUGUGCCAGCAGUCUUACUCAGUAUUACAUAUUAAAACCAUUUUAUAUCCAUGGGAACCCAGUCAACUACUCAUACAUCCAGACCCUAGUUCUGCUGUUCCUUGGCUUAUAGAGGUCAGAGCAAUCCCUCUCCUAAGCUUCAGUUGCUGUAUUCAUAAGGUGGCUUCUCCAGCUGUCCUGCUGCCCAGCUUUCCCUCCUGGUAAGGGCGGAGGAGCUGCCUGUUGGUAGGGAGCACAGCUCAGCAUCCUGUACUUGUGAAGCAGUGGCUUCCUUAAUCUCCAUAGUAACCCUGUGCUGGGAGGGAAGGGAGGGCUGUGCUGAGCCUGGGUUGCUAUCCUAUCAGGGUUGAGCUUGGGGACCCCAUGAUAUUCAGCACUGGGCUCUGACUGCCCCUGAAGAUAUAGUGCCACCCAGGACCUUAGACACCUGGGGAUCUGAGGGCCCCCACUCCAGGGAGGUGCUGGGUGGGGGUGUGGCCCUUUCUACUUCACACAGCUUCUGCAGCAGUGCCCUUCCUGACCCUCUUGCUCUUCCCU
Molecule: long non-coding RNA, 684 nt
Filed under: Marmota marmota marmota (Alpine marmot)
Lineage: Eukaryota; Metazoa; Chordata; Mammalia; Rodentia; Sciuridae
Source: RNAcentral